Sphingobium quisquiliarum P25 is the source of this 264-nucleotide non-coding RNA. Lineage: Bacteria; Pseudomonadati; Pseudomonadota; Alphaproteobacteria; Sphingomonadales; Sphingobiaceae. The record is from Rfam.
UUUCCCCUAUGGCGCGCCGCGUGGGCGGGCAACCGCUCACAUGAAAGAAGAUCGCGCCGGAAAGGGAAUGCGGUGCGGGCGAGCCUUCGCCCAAUUCCGCGGCUGUCCCUGCAACUGUAAGCGGCGAGCGCGAUGCACUUGGUAACUCACGCUUUCGAAAGGGGAGGGCGCGGGGAACCGGCCACUGGACGCGAGUCCGGGAAGGCCCGUGCAUCGCUGCCCUGACCCGCGAGCCAGGAGACCUGCCGGCGCAUGGUCGCUCUU